GUGAUGAAUUCUGCCAUGUGGUACCAGACUGCUGCCCAGACCACAGUGUCCUCUGCAACCCUGGUAACUCACAUACAGGCCUGAUUCCACCUACAGCAAAGCUGGAUGCUAUGGUUGGCAGAGGCAAGCCCCUUGCCUGCACUUCAGGCCAAAGCCGGGAUGUGGCCUAGAUGGUUCCUAAGCUUCUCAGAUGACCAAGAUGGUGCUGCCGAUGGUGUUGAGGACGGAGAACCCACCAAGCCCCGUUAGGAGCCACCUAGACUGGAUGCAGAGCACAGACAAUUUGCUGAGGUCUGGGAGCACCCCCUCCAGAGAGUCCCUGAUCUCUCACAACUUGGUCGUGAUCUAAAGUUUAUUUGAUGUACAACUCCCCCUCCCCUUCUUUUGGAGUUUUAUUUGCUUCCAAGAAGGAAGGCAAGAUUUCCUGGGUCCGUGAUGAUGGAAGGCUGACAACUCUUUUAUGGAUUUUGAGCUUGCUCCCAGUAGGGAAGACAAGUUCAAGUUUUUUUCCUGCUUCAAGGAUGGUGGAGAGCAGUCUUCAGCCUGAGACCCAUCCCUAG
Molecule: long non-coding RNA, 560 nt
Filed under: Pongo abelii (Sumatran orangutan)
Lineage: Eukaryota; Metazoa; Chordata; Mammalia; Primates; Hominidae
Description: lincRNA
Source: RNAcentral